This 435-nucleotide ribosomal RNA is filed under the name uncultured Planctomycetales bacterium. RNAcentral's name for it is "bacterial SSU rRNA". It matches the Rfam family "Bacterial small subunit ribosomal RNA", at positions 106 to 558 of the family's 1533-position model. The record is from RNAcentral. Lineage: Bacteria; Pseudomonadati; Planctomycetota; Planctomycetia; Planctomycetales.
GUGAGUAAUGUAUCGCUAAUGUACCCCGGACUUUGGGAUAGCUGCCCGAAAGGGCAGGUAAUACCAGAUGAUAUAAUUUGGCCGCAUGGCCCGAGUUCUCAAAGGUCCGCCGGUCUGGGAGCAGGCGAUAUCGUAUCAGCUAGUUGGUGAGGUAACGGCUCACCAAGGCGACGACGCGUAGCCGGACUGAGAGGUCGGUCGGCCACAUCGGGACUGAGACACUGCCCGGACUCCUACGGGGGGCUGCAGUAACGAAUCUUCCCCAAUGGGCGCAAGCCUGAGGGAGCGACGCCGCGUGUAGGAUGAAGUUCUUCGGAAUGUAAACUACUGUCAGGGGUUACAAAGUUCUGAUCAACCCCAACGGAAGAGGCGGCUAACUCUGUGCCAGCAGCCGCGGUAAGACAGAGGCCUCGAGCGUUAGGCGGAAUCACUGGG